This is a non-coding RNA of Musa acuminata subsp. malaccensis (wild Malaysian banana), 3322 nucleotides long. The record is from RefSeq and is a predicted model, not a curated record. NCBI's taxonomy places the organism in Eukaryota, Viridiplantae, Streptophyta, Magnoliopsida, Zingiberales, Musaceae.
GUUAUUUCUACAACAAAUUCAAAGGCUCUAGACAUUCUUAGGUUUGAGCCUGACCGACCAAGCAGAUUUGUUGCUGGAAGAAAAAGAAGGAAUAUAGUGUGACACAUAUAGAUUCUAGUAACAAAAUCCCAAUCUCUUUGUUUGAAGCUUUGCCAGGAAGCUUAUACUUGCUUAGAAUGUGUGCACUACUUGAAACUGAGAGAACUCUCAGAAGAAGGAAGAAACAUGCAAGGGAAUAAACGCAGCGAGAGUAGAGGAUUGAUUUGAGGCAUCUCUUUCACUUUGUUGGUUGCUAAUCGCAUUCUUGUACUUGUGGUUACACUUGGUAAUCUCUUGGUAUUUUCUUUUCUGCAGGUCAUGGUUCUUGUUUCUUCUCUGGAAGAGAUGUCUUCUUCUUGAGAUUCCUUUUGCAUUCGGGUGACGUUCGGUAAUGACUAUUGCUUUUCAAGCUUGUUUUCUCUCAGUUUCAUAUAAUUCUUAACAGAAAUGUUCCAGAGAUGAUGAGCUUUGGUCAUCACAUACCUCAUUUUUAUCAACCAUAUGCAUGUAUAAAAUUUUGCAGUGUUGUUGAAUUUCUUAGUAGACUAGUUUGGCCAUUAUGCUUAGUCUAAAAAUGUUCCAGAGAUGAGCUUUGGCAAUUAUUCUGGAUUAUUUCUUCAUGUUGAGGUUCUGCACCUCGAUCUUUCUUUUCGACAAAAGAUCUUAUCUUAGGUCUAAUUAUAUCAUAGUUUAUACAUUUAUGCCUUAAUAAUUAGGUAUAAUGUAGAUAUAUAUUGAUUUAGUAGGCACAAUUUAGAUACAUAUGUUGGUCAAAUUGUUUCACGAAGUCUGAUGUAUGUGGUUGUAUUGGAUGUUCAGUUUGUGGCCAAUUGAGAUGGGCCGAACCGAGAUCCGGUCGGAGUUAGAAAAAUCUGAACCGGUUCGAAGUCAACCAGUCCAGUCGUACAUGGUUUACCUUCUAGAAAAGUCAGCAAUUUCUCGUUUGUGUUGGUUUUGCGCUUCUUUCAAAUCGUUUACUGCUGUUCCACGAAAUCACAAACUACCUGGAAUAUAGACCUGGCACUUUACCUACCCUUUUAUUGGAGGCGUCGCCGGUCCCACAGGUCCGUCACUGUGCAGGUAGGCCAUGGGAAAACGACACGGGUGAGGAACGAGUAUUAUUUGGUUGGUCUAUUUAUUUGAUGUGUUUGUUUCCGUUCCAGAAGUGGAAACACCAGAAGCUUCUCCUCGGUUCAAAUCCACGCGCUCCGUCUAAGCAGGUGACGUCCUCGACUGUCUCUCUCGAUCUCUGAUAUUUGUUUCCUUUCCCUCCAAGGCUGCUGCAACGCGAUCACACAAGCCGAGAAGACCAAGAGACAACGACGGUAACUAAACCCUUCUCUCUCUGUAUCUCUCUCGGCGAUGGUCGUGUCUUGUGGCAUCGAGUGCGUGUUCUGCCUGGGGUGCACGCGGUGGGCCUGCCGCCGCUGCGGGUACGUCGGCGCCGACGACAGCGCCGCCUGGGCGCCCGCCACGCCCGAUGAGUUCGCCCCCGUUCCCCGCGCCUGCCGCGCCGUCCUUGCGGCCUACGAAGACGACCUCGCCCGCCCCCGCUGGGCCCCCGCUCGCCCCGGCGGGUAUCGGAUGGAUCCCGCCGCCGUCGUCAAACGCGCCUCCUACGCCGACACCCGCGGCCGCUGCCCGCCCUACCUCCUCUACGUCGACCGCGCCGCCCGCGAAGUCGUCCUUGCCGUCCGUGGCCUCAACCUUGGCCACGACGCCGACUACCGCCUCCUGCUCGACAACCCUCCCGGUUCCCAGCCCUUCGAUGGCGGCUACGUCCACCUCGGCCUGCUCAAGGCCGCCGCCUGGCUGCUCAACCGCGAGGCCGACACCCUGUGCCACCUCCUUAGGGAUUGCGGGCCCGAGUAUGGCCUCGUGCUGGUCGGCCACUCGCUCGGCGCCGGCGUGGCGGCCCUCAUGGCCAUGCUGGUGGUGAACCAACUCGACCGGUUCGGGGAGAUCCCAAGGAGCCGCGUCCGAUGCUACGCCAUCUCGCCGGCCAGGUGCAUGUCGCUGAAUCUUGCGGUGAAGUACGCUGACGUGAUCCACUCCGUGGUGUUGCAGGAUGAUUUCCUUCCAAGAACGCCAACACCUUUGCAACAUAUUUUUGGAUCUGUUUUCUGUCUGCCAUGUUUGUUAUUUUUGGUUUGCAUGAGAGAUACAUUUAUAUCUGAAGAUAGAAAGCUUAAGGAUCCAAAAAGGCUCUACGCCCCCGGUCGGAUGUAUCAUAUUGUGGAGAGAAAAUUUUGCAGGUAUCAAGUCCUUAACAUCACUGUCAUGUUUCUAUAAGGUAUUCUCCCCCUUUUUUUUAUAGGUUUUAAUGUCUGUACAUCCACUUUGUCAAACCUCUUUUAUCUGGUCAAACUACACUGUGACAUCCUCUCACUAAUUGUUAUGAAAAAUCACAUUGCGGGUGUUUGAAGUGGCGGUGUGUGAAGCACUUUCUGAUGCAAUAUUCAUCAAAAUUUAGUAUGGGAAUAUCCUUAUUAGCACCACUUGAACUUUAGAAGUGGAAUAGUAUAGUCGAUUAUUAUCAACUUAUAUCUUACUUAACCAUGAUAAACAUUACUUUCUUCAUCUAGUAGGUUACGAACUAGGAAAAACCAUUGUUUUUAAUGCUGUUUAUGAAGCACUCCUGCUUAAAUUAUGUACCUUAAUAUUAAGAUUCUAAUUCCUUCAAGAAAUUCAAAAGUUUUAUAAGGUUCUUUUUCUUAGAGAGGUAAUAUGGUUUUAUAAAUUUAAAUCCUAAACUUUUUGUGUUCUUAGCUUUUUCUUAAAUCACCUUGCCACUUAAGUGAUGUUGCUGUCAAGUAUAUCAUAGAAGCAUCACAAAAUUUUGUUUUUCAGGACUUGCAUCUGAAGAAAUACACUGUAAUGCUGUUGAGAAUUUCCAAUGUUCGAUUUGUAAAUGAUUUUUCUGUAAAAUCAUUAAUACUUGUGGUUAUUGAAAUCUGGCCUUGAAUAAUUUGGUAUCAUUGCGAUUAAUAUAGAUGUGGCAGACUCCCUCCUGAGGUGAGAACAGCCGUUCCUGUCGAAGGAAGAUUCGAGCAUAUAAUACUAUCAUGCAAUGCUAUGUUCGAUCAUGGAAUCAUUUGGACGGAGCGAGAAGCUCAGAAAGCUUUAGAAAUAAUGCUUAAAGGAAAUGUCAUGACAACCCCUCCGUCGAGGCAACAGAUGGAGGGAAGGGGGUCUCUUCAGGAAGAACACAAUGAGGCACUGGAAAGAGCUUUGAGCUUGCACCUGCCUCACCCUGCCUCACAACACAGCUUACCCUUCCAAG